RNAcentral lists this transfer RNA (66 nucleotides) under Striatobalanus amaryllis. Its description in RNAcentral is "tRNA-Ala". Lineage: Eukaryota; Metazoa; Arthropoda; Thecostraca; Balanomorpha; Balanidae. The record is from RNAcentral.
AAAGUAGAAGUUUAUAUAAUAUUUGACCUGCAAUCAGAAGAAGAUAGAAAAAUCUGUCCUACUUUG